RNAcentral lists this ribosomal RNA (314 nucleotides) under Chaetoceros curvisetus. Its description in RNAcentral is "partial Bacterial small subunit ribosomal RNA". It matches the Rfam family "Bacterial small subunit ribosomal RNA", at positions 31 to 328 of the family's 1533-position model. The record is from RNAcentral. Lineage: Eukaryota; Bacillariophyta; Thalassiosirophyceae; Chaetocerotales; Chaetocerotaceae.
GAACGCUGGCGGCGUGCUUAACACAUGCAAGUCGAACGGGAUUUAGUAGACAGAAGCUUCGGUGGAAGAUUACUAAUGAGAGUGGCGAACGGGUGAGUAACGCGUGAGCAACCUGCCUAUGACAGUGGGAUAGCCUCGGGAAACCGGGAUUAAUACCAAAUAAAAUCAUAAUGACACAUGUCAUAACGAUCAAAACUCCGGUGGUCUAAGAUGGACUCGCGUCCCAUUAGCUAGUUGGUAGAGUAAAAGCCUACCAAGGCGACGAUGGGUAGCCGGCCUGAGAGGGUGAACGGCCACAUUGGAACUGAGAAACG